RNAcentral lists this microRNA (23 nucleotides) under Caenorhabditis briggsae. Its description in RNAcentral is "cbr-miR-7586". Lineage: Eukaryota; Metazoa; Nematoda; Chromadorea; Rhabditida; Rhabditidae. The record is from miRBase by way of RNAcentral.
UGGAAUCCUCUCUGUUUGCUUGA